GGAUAUAAGGUCAACCUGGUUUUGACAUCUGUCUUCUCAUUAGUCUCCAGGAUUAGUUCUGCUGAGCUGGCUGGCUAAGCAGGUAUCCUCUCCCUCAUUGUUUCAUGUGUAUCUCAGCUGCCCAUACUUGGUCAACAAGGAUGGUUAUUCCUGAAUAGAGACAACUGGUCUUUGGCUGAGGGUAUAUGAAUAACUAUAGUUCCCUGCUAGAACAUUCAAAUAAGCUCUCAAGAACCAAUGGCCAAAAGUGAGGCAGAAUGGGGCAAGUCAACAAAGAGGCAAUUGAUCACCCACCUUCAGACAAAGUUUGUAUACUUUUUAUAAGAUCUUUUGGGU
Non-coding RNA from Erinaceus europaeus (western European hedgehog), 336 nucleotides. The record is from Rfam. NCBI's taxonomy places the organism in Eukaryota, Metazoa, Chordata, Mammalia, Eulipotyphla, Erinaceidae.